Long non-coding RNA from Mus musculus (house mouse), 2155 nucleotides. RefSeq annotates it as predicted gene, 33864. Lineage: Eukaryota; Metazoa; Chordata; Mammalia; Rodentia; Muridae. The transcript is spliced from 4 exons. The record is from RefSeq and is a predicted model, not a curated record.
CAGUGGAUUGGUCUUUGAUGAAUUAAUAGCUGAAUGGACUUUUAGAAAGUGUGAUCUGGUUGGAGGAGCUAAGUCUUUGGGAAUGUGGCCUUAAAAGGUAGGUCUUGUGAUCUUGUUUCUGUUCCCCUCCACACACACCUCUCUGCGUCUCUCACGCUUGUUGGAGUCAUUCCACAAACCACAUGAACACCAAUCUCAGCCAGACAAGGAUGCUUUAUUGAACGCACACCCUGAUACUGAUUGGAUCAGAGGCAUAGCUCAGAAUUAUCUGAACUACAAUAACAAACAUUUCUCAGGGCUGGUUUAUAAAGGAAAAAACCACAGAACCCACAAUGAACUCAUACACAGGUGCAGGAAGUACUGCCCAAGGCUCAGCUCUGACUCAAGCCGUUUAAGACAUGAUAGUUCACAUUGACCUUUAACUUGAUGGGUCCUAUGUAAAGCUUUGUAGAAUUAAGAUUAACAAACCUCAGAACAUACAGAACAUAACAGGGGAAGUGGUCACCCUGCACCUGUUUUGAGUCAAGUUAUUUUUCUGUGUCAAUGACUGGCAGGCAUAUUACAUCAACAAUAUGAAAUAGCUGGCAGGCAUGGAACAAAAUGGCUACAGCUAUGCUGGGGGGGCAGGCUUCAAUAAUGCUGUCUCUUACUGUUCCACUCUCUUGCUCUCUCUUGCUCUACUCUCUCUUUCUUUGGUGCCUUCUUUCCAUUCUUGUCAUGUCCUACUUUGCUGAGGUCCAGAAACACAGGAUCUAAAGAACCGUAGGUGAAAGCAUUGGUGAACCACGUGAACACAUCUGAACCUUUCCACCUCUAAGUUGCCUCAGGUAUUUUGUCGCAGCAAUGAAAAGUUGAUGACAUCACUGUGUAUGUCCCUACCUCAAAGUCUUUACAGCUGCCCCCCUUCUACAUCUUGUGCUAUUUCCCAAGUGCUCAGAACCUGUUUCCUUAAUCUUUCUGUAAGAAGUAGGGCUGUUCAGUAGAACCGCCAACUAGUAAACAAGGAGGAAAUGUGUAAUUUCUGUCUAUAAAACAGAUUCUAUUCACUGCUUAUUUCCAAACCAGAGACUAAUGUUGCAAAAGAGAGGUCUCUUUCUUUUGCAUGAAAUGAUGAGUUAUCCCAGGUAUUACAUAGUGUGUACAAUUGAAUCAGGCUUAAUAAUUAAUGGAUUUCCUGGAAAAGCAGAAAACAGGAUGAUAAGCACAAAAACCACCGACCAAGUCACUAGUUGCAUAACAACUACUCUGGGUGAAAUGUAUUAUUUAAAGCUAUUCAAUCACAGCCUUAUCUUUUCUAAUUCUUGCCGGAUGCCUCGGAGUACAAUCAUCUGACUGCAUCUCUGAAACAGCAUUAGAAUUUGGGAAGCAUGUUAAUGAACCCUAACUGCAGCCACUCUGAAGAAAACACCAUUAAUCAUGUCAUCUGAUAAGAGAUACGUCAGGGUAUCUCUGUUUUCUGCCAUAAAUGCUCAAUAGGAUCCCCACACAUGGUUUGAAGGCCUGCUAUCAACCUGCCAUUCUGGUUACUGGAGAAGUUAUAAAAGAAUAUCCUAAAAGUCUUUUGAAAUGUAAGUUUGUAAUUCUAUCAUCUCUGGUGACAUGCUUUUCCGGACAUGAGUUUACAUCUAAGGAAGACAGCUGGGUAGAGAGCUGAUAUCUAGAGAAAUAGGAGACGAGUCUCCAUGAACUUCGUUGACUGCCUUCAGAGAGCAGUAAUAUGUCACAUGAGAAGUGUACCUUCGAAUCCUGUCCAGAGGAGGCUGCUGGCACUCACCUGUGAAACUCAUGCCUUCAGAUGCACAUUUUACGGGGUCUUUGAUUGGGAAAUUGCUUUCCACCUCAGUUCAAUGUUAAUUUACUUAUAAGCAAACAGAAUGUGGCAACACUAUUUCUACUCUAAGAGCAUAUGCGUGUUGUCCUAUUAGUAGUAAUAUUUUCACCAGAACAUUGUCGAACAGCAGCAAGUGAUAACAUUAGUAGGCAGUAAUCAGAAAGUUGACAGCUUUCCUCGCCACUCACAUUUUUCCUUCUAGGAGGCGAGAGAUGUAAAUUGAACGGAACACUUCAGAAAAUGAUGAUUAGCUAAUGCUAGCGCAGGUACCACAUGCAUGCUGAAAUAUUUUUCUAAAAGAAGAAAAUAAACCAGUCUUCUGAA